CCUACGGGAGGCAGCAGUGGGGAAUAUUGCACAAUGGGGGAAACCCUGAUGCAGCGACGCCGCGUGAGUGAAGAAGUAUUUCGGUACGUAAAGCUCUAUCAGCAGGGAAGAAAAUGACGGUACCUGACUAAGAAGCCCCGGCUAACUACGUGCCAGCAGCCGCGGUAAUACGUAGGGGGCAAGCGUUAUCCGGAUUUACUGGGUGUAAAGGGAGCGUAGACGGCAGCGCAAGUCUGAAGUGAAAUCCCAUAGCUUAACCAUGGAACUGCUUUGGAAACUGUGCAGCUGGAGUACAGGAGAGGUAAGCGGAAUUCCUAGUGUAGCGGUGAAAUGCGUAGAUAUUAGGAGGAACACCAGUGGCGAAGGCGGCUUACUGGACUGUAACUGACGUUGAGGCUCGAAAGCGGGGGGAGCAAACAGGAUUAGAUACCCUGGUAGUC
This 440-nucleotide ribosomal RNA is filed under the name uncultured bacterium. RNAcentral describes it as "partial 16S ribosomal RNA". It matches the Rfam family "Bacterial small subunit ribosomal RNA", at positions 338 to 795 of the family's 1533-position model. The record is from RNAcentral.